RNAcentral lists this unclassified non-coding RNA (424 nucleotides) under Hevea brasiliensis (rubber tree). The record is from RNAcentral. Lineage: Eukaryota; Viridiplantae; Streptophyta; Magnoliopsida; Malpighiales; Euphorbiaceae.
GAAGCUGAUUCUAGUGCAACACGUGCAGCAAUCCAAGCAGAACCAGCCAGGACAGUCUGCACAUGUAUUAACCACCCAGUGUCCCCCAGAGUAGAAACUGAAGCUGACAUACUGCUGAGAUUGCCUCCGCCCCAACUCCAUCCACCAUGCCUCAGAUAAGAUGACAUUCCGUCUGAUGAAGUAGUUCCAUAAGUAUCUACAUAGUCUCUAAGCCGACCAAGACUCUCCCUCAUUGCAUGUAUAUUAUCAAUGCCAAAGAAAACAAUCUCCGACUGGAAAUAGUUUGCAGAUGACUCCGAUCCACCUCCCAUUGCCCCAUUUGCUAAAGCAUUUUUCCUCGGCCUUGCAUCAGCAAUAUAUAGCUUCCUUCGUUUCUGUCCAGCAAUUUGAGUACAGAGUGCAGCAACUAGAUUUUCAUCAGCAU